GUGAGGCAAAGGGAAUUUUGGGAUGAAUGCUCCAGAUGCUUCGUGGGGCACAGCUGGAAAAUGAAAUGCCGCUGCCUUCAUAAGGCUGGGAGCUAAAUGGGAAAGGAUUUGGUAUUGAGUUGUCCUGGAAUUAAUGGGUGCAAGACUCUGGGAAUAGGAAUUCCUGAAAAUCCAGUUCACUGCAUUUGCACAUGGACAUUGAAAAUUUUGGUUAUAAUAUGCAAUUUAAGACUGUAUGUACUGCUAUUUUUUUAAAGUGUUGGGUAUUUUUCUUUGAUCUCUUUAUUCGUGGAUCCACACAAUCAAUGACAUUGAAAAGAAGGAAAAAGCCUAGUCUUGAACACCUGGCCCAACCUCAUGGGAGAUGUCUCAUGGCCCUUCCUCACCAAAUCCUUGCCCUUGUUUCCAUCCUGGUUCUUGCUCCCCAAGCUGAUAAUCCAGCAAGAAACUGUUUACUCGACAGGCAGAUUUCCCCCCUCCAUUCCAUCUAUUGAUCACCAGCACCUGGCAGAGGAAAACCCUGCAGAAUUCCCAGUAAGAGCUGAGACCUUUGCUUGGAGGAAGUGUUGCUGAGCUGUGGGUAAACACCAUCCUGGCAGCUUCCAGCGUGAUGAGUUUGUAAUCAGCAUGUGGGUCUCAGCAUUUCCAUCUCUCAGACAUAAGUAUCCCUGCAUUUUGUGUUUGGGAGCUUUGCAAAAUGAAGGUCAGCUCCGGAGCUGCUGGGUUUGGAGUCACGUUUGUCCAGUCCCCAGGGAAAGGCCUGAGAGGAGAGAAAGUCCCCCCAGCAGAAGAACUUCCACAAAUGGGAACCUUUAAACUCAGAACUGCUCAAGAUGAAGGAAGUCACAUUCCCGACCCUUCCCAUUUGCCCUCUUUGCUCCCCUUUGAUCAGGGAUUUUUGACCAAGCCAAGCCUUGCAACUCUCUCUGGGGAAAAUCCUACAGGGAAGUAGUACUAGUCCUCUACUCCCUUGUCCUAUCGCCAAGCUGAAAAGAAAAAAGGAAAAACUACAGCUUUUUUUUCACCCUCCAAUGCCCUAAAAAUUAUUUCCAAACAAAAUAAAUGUGGCAGGUUGUGGGAAAUGGAUUUGUAAAGAAUUCUCAAAAGCUGUCAGAAAACUCAGUCUUAUAUAUCUGUAUACAAAUACUAAAAUUAAGUGUGCUAACUUAAGAAAGCCAUAGAAUAGAGAUGACAUUGUUAAGAGAGAAAUUAAACUAAAACCAAGUUUCAACAACUUUCAAAAUGUAGCCUUACAAAAAUACUAGAUAUUUUAGAAAACUAGAACUGUGAAAGAUGCGUUGUAGCAACACCACCUAGAGAAAAAACAGAGGUGAUUAGUGCUAGAAGUAAUGGCAACAUUGUGUGGCAAAAACAAAUAAGCUGAAAAACAUUUAUAAAGUAUUGUAACCAAGAAAUAGGUUAGCUUCUGACACGAAUAGCAUUUUUACAUCUCAUCAUCAAGACUGAUAAUGGAAUAAAAUCGUUUAAAAUGCCUCUCAGUUGCCUCAUCGCUGUAAAAACUUAGAAAACCAACACCAGCUUAGCUCCUUGUGAGCCCCAAGGAUGAGCUGUGUCUCCCUGCAGCUCUGCCAGGCUCUGACCAUUCCUGUAGAUAUGCUCCUGUCUUCCCAAACCUGGCAUCCCAUCCCUAUAUCCUUCCAUCUUCUGGGUCCCCACUUGUCCAAAGCUCAUCAGCUUUCCCACCCUGCUGAUCUGUUCCCAACUUCCCCAAACCAGGAACUCUGGCCCACUCAGUGCUCUCUCCUUAAUCUACUCCCUGGUCAUACUCAGAAUUAUCCUGAACUAUAUAUAAUGAAAUUAACAUAAUUAAUAGCUUCAAUUUUUUUCUUUGCUGGGUUGUUCGGGUUUUUUGGUGGUUUUUUUUUUUUUUUUUGUUUUUUUUUUUUUUUUUUGGUUUGGUUUGGUUUGGUUUUAAAUAUGCUCCGUAAGACUAAAAUAAAAUUUAGUUCCUGCACUUCAUUACAGGUCUGUUAAUCAAGCAGUUCCCUGCCUGAGCUCAUGGAAUGUUACAGGAUUUCAGCAUUGCCAGUAUUCUGUCAGGUUCUAGAGAUAACCACAGCCUAAAUUGAAAAGCAGAUCCCAUUGCACCUCUGGAGCACAGAAAAUGGAAAGGAUCAACCUCAGUUUCCAGUUCCCGGAUUUGUUAUACAGGGAUUAGGGUUGGUAGGUUUUGAGGGGGGGCCAGUCUGCACAUUUCAAAAGCUGGGGCUCCUCCUGCUUAUCAGGCUGUUUUAGAAAGGUAUCGCUUUGUUUUUAUAUAGGUUUCCUUUUUCCACAGGAAUUUGCUCAAAGGAGAGAAAUUCCCAUUCUAUCUAAGCCCACAGGCUGGCUAACUUUCAUAAUAAAAUGAGACCCAGACAAAAUAGACUUCUCUGAAUAAGGAUUGAAAGCUCAGUGUAUGUUUUUUGCCUGAAUAAGAUUAAAAUACAAAGUUUUUAUCAGAAAUGUUAAACAUCGAUAUUUUGGGAGCCAAGUCAAUAAAAAAAUUCAGAAGGUAUUUGAGUUCAAAGGAGAUUAAAUGAAGUCUAAUGGUAUGAUUAGUCAAAACUGACAUAAUUCCAAUCCAAUGCAGUGAAAAAUUGAUUAAAUGCUGCUAAAUGAUAGAUUUCCCUACACAGCCAUGGAUGGGAAAUCCUUACAAAAGGUAUUUCAGUUUCAGUUCUUCUUCCCUUCCAUGAAGCAAUUGUUUACUGAAGUCUCCAGCUGCAGAACCAGGCUGGGACACUCCUUUGCUCCACUUUAAACUUCAUGCAAAGCAGAUCAAGCCUUAGUUUAUGGACAAAGCCCUGGCACAGGAAGGGAGGAGGUUGGUCACACAUGCCAAGGAAGCUCUGAAAAGCAGCCCAAAACUGCCCAGGGCUUUAUAUUUGCCUGACUUAGCUAAUUUGGAUGGGCCCAGCUUACCACACUCUCCAGGAUGUUUAUGCCCAUCCUCUCUCUAAUUUACUCUUUCAGUCAUCAUUUUGUAUUUGUAAAUUAGAUCAAGUAAUUCUGUCUUUAUUUCCUCACUGCUAAGGAAAAUAUUGUGACAAAUGCUGCAGCCCCAACCAAAGCAUCCUCUUAAAUAACAAUCUUCUGUUCAAUUUCUUUUUUUCAGCCACUUUAGUGUAUCACAGCCGUUUAAAGAAGAAUACCCCGAGGCUAUAAGUCAAAUUUAGGCUGAUCAUAGUCUGACUGUCUUAGAUCUUUAAUUCUGGAGAGCAUCUACAGAGGUUGUCAUCCCAAACUUUUAAUCACCUCAGAAAAUAUUACUUUUUUUAACUCUUUUUUUUUCCCCUCAAAGAGAUGUGCUGUGUAACUGUGGAGUAAAAAAAAAAGCUCUUACUGAAAGGAUAUUCAGCCCAGUGCUGAAAUAUAUCAUGAAAAUCAAUAAUUGAAAGGCAAAGAUGCUGCCAAGGGCCAGGUUUUACUAUAGAUGGAAUGGGUAACAUGGGGCUCAUGAUGUGCCUAAUAGCAACUUUUUACCUUUAUUUCUAUGAAUAGAAUAAUUUUAUCUUUAUUUCUAUGGCUCUUUCUAUGAAUGGAAGAGUCCAAAUAGUUCUUGACAAAUGAGCAGAUCCAAUGCCUGCCCUCUUACCCGCCCCCCUGGGAAAUUUGUAUCUGAGCCCUUCAUCUCUUCAGCUGAUUUGGUCAGUACAGUCAUUAGAAAAACAAUGGGUUUU
This is a long non-coding RNA of Taeniopygia guttata (zebra finch), 3683 nucleotides long. Lineage: Eukaryota; Metazoa; Chordata; Aves; Passeriformes; Estrildidae. The record is from Ensembl.